AGCUUGCUUCCUUGGGCGUCGACCGGCGCACGGGUGAGUAACGCGUAUCCAACCUGCCUCUGACUGAGGGAUAACCCGUCGAAAGUCGGCCUAAUACCUCAUGGCAUCGUCUGCGGGCAUCCAACGACGAUUAAAGAUUUCAUCGGUCAGGGAUGGGGAUGCGUCUGAUUAGUUAGUUGGCGGGGUAACGGCCCACCAAGGCGACGAUCAGUAGGGGUUCUGAGAGGAAGGUCCCCCACAUUGGAACUGAGACACGGUCCAAACUCCUACGGGAGGCAGCAGUGAGGAAUAUUGGUCAAUGGGCGGGAGCCUGAACCAGCCAAGUAGCGUGCAGGAUGACGGCCCUAUGGGUUGUAAACUGCUUUUAUGCGGGGAUAAAGUGAGGGACGUGUCCUUCAUUGCAGGUACCGCAUGAAUAAGGACCGGCUAAUUCCGUGCCAGCAGCCGCGGUAAUACGGAAGGUCCGGGCGUUAUCCGGAUUUAUUGGGUUUAAAGGGAGCGUAGGCCGUGGAUUAAGCGUGUUGUGAAAUGCAGGUGCUCAACGUCUGCACUGCAGCGCGAACUGGUCCACUUGAGUGUGCGCAACGCAGGCGGAAUUCGUCGUGUAGCGGUGAAAUGCUUAGAUAUGACGAAGAACUCCGAUUGCGAAGGCAGGUUGCGGGAGCACAACUGA
This 673-nucleotide ribosomal RNA is filed under the name uncultured Bacteroidales bacterium. Its description in RNAcentral is "bacterial SSU rRNA". It matches the Rfam family "Bacterial small subunit ribosomal RNA", at positions 77 to 743 of the family's 1533-position model. The record is from RNAcentral. Lineage: Bacteria; Pseudomonadati; Bacteroidota; Bacteroidia; Bacteroidales.